CCUUAGUGUUUGACGGCAGGGAGAGCUUUUCUUUUUCUAGACCUAGUUUUGUUACAAGUUUCAUUUGGAGAGAAGAUCACUUGUGAUUGGAACUCCUUGUUCAUUUUCUUAUCAUAUAUUCUAUGAGUUUCUAUUUAUCUAUUGACAUGAAUUGCUUUGCUAUGCCUGAGUAGUUCAACUGUUAGAUCCAUGGUUUAGAUAGGUUUGUGGGAUUAGCCCCAAACUAUAGAUCUGCCUUGUUGUGAUAUUCAUGAUAGAUUUGUAUUCAUUGCUUGUUUUAGCCUAGCUAACUAGAACUUGAUCAUAGGAUUGCAUAUUCAAGCACCCUUGUUAUCCCAUCCUGAAAUAUAUCUAUCAUAUUAGGAUUGCUAGAGAGGGCUAACCGCCAAUUUAGAAUCUUAGUAGGGCAUUUCAUACUCGCGCAUAGGCCUGGCUAGAACCCGUCGGUCGAUGUCCUCAACUGACAAUCGAUCGAUGUUGGCAAAAGUGUAUCGGUCGACGUCUUCAUAGACUAUCGAUCGACACUCUCUUGUGUCUACAUCUAACCGGUGAGACACAAGAUCUAGUCUGUUAACCAGU
This 579-nucleotide long non-coding RNA is filed under the name Brassica napus (rape). RNAcentral describes it as "long non-coding RNA (BNAP_LNC027167)". The record is from RNAcentral. Lineage: Eukaryota; Viridiplantae; Streptophyta; Magnoliopsida; Brassicales; Brassicaceae.